This is a long non-coding RNA of Dreissena polymorpha, 264 nucleotides long. RefSeq lists it as uncharacterized. The record is from RefSeq and is a predicted model, not a curated record. The transcript has 2 exons. NCBI's taxonomy places the organism in Eukaryota, Metazoa, Mollusca, Bivalvia, Myida, Dreissenidae.
GUGACAAUUAACUGUUUGGAACAGUGAAAUUAUCAGUUUUAAUUCACAGAUAUUUCUCUAUAAACCACCGAACACGUCGUCGUACUUUGACUUUUUGGCAAGAUAUUUCGGCAGUUGAAAAGAUUGGAUGACAAAUAGACUCCAUCAGUGUGCUGCGAUUGGCAUGUCUUUUCCCGCUUUUGAUUUAUGCUAUUACAUAAUUAUAACAUACUGAACAUGAUCGUUUUCAUAUAUUUAUCGUAAAUAUACCAAAUAUUCAACACU